CCCGCUGAACUUAAGCAUAUUAUUAAGCGGAGGAAAAGAAAUUAACCAAGAUUACCUUAGUAAGGGCGACUGAACCGGUAAAAGCUCAAAAUUAAAAUCGAAAAUUCAAAGAAUUUUCGAAUUGUAAUCAGGAAAACCUAAAUACGAAAUAUUGCUCAAUUAUGUCGAAACAUAAGCCAAAGAGGGUGAAAGCCCCGUACAGCAUUAUCUCGCUCCAGGUUUUCUCCACAAGAGUCGGGUUGCUUGGAACUGCAGCCCUAAACGGGAGAUAUGAAUCUUCCAAAGCUAAAUAUAGAUGGGAGACCGAUAGCGAACAAGUACUGUGAAGGAAAGAUGAAAAGGACUUUGAAAAGAGAGUGAAAAGAUCUGAAAUCGUUGAAAAGGAAGCAGUAAAAACUGACGGUCAUACUGAAAGACUACAUAUUAACUUAUGUAAAUCUUCUCAAAAUGACGGACAAAAUCAAGUUAUAAACAUCAAAAAAGGCAACCCCGAUUAAGAUAUUUAUAACUUGAGGGACUACUGUGAUUUUGUCAAAAUGGUUUUUACUGUCCCGUCUUGAAACACGG
This 567-nucleotide ribosomal RNA is filed under the name uncultured fungus. RNAcentral describes it as "eukaryotic LSU rRNA". It matches the Rfam family "Eukaryotic large subunit ribosomal RNA", at positions 24 to 664 of the family's 3401-position model. Lineage: Eukaryota; Fungi. The record is from RNAcentral.